AGUGUUUUCUUCACUCAUGGUGAAGAAUGGGGGAGAUAGAAGGAACAUACAGAGUCCUGCAGACUGCAGGGACACGCUUGGGUGCCCAGACCCCUGUGGGAGUUAGCACCCUUGAGCCUGGGCAGACUCUCUUGCCCAGAAUGCAAGAGAAGCACCUGCACCUCAGAGUAAAGCUGCUGGACAACACCAUGGAAAUAUUUGACAUUGAGAACUAGUCUUCUCUUUUAUACUUGGGAAACAGAGGGACAGAGAUGUUUUUGAAAGACGUACCCAAUACUAGAGGCUCCAGCCAGAGCAGCUGGGAAGAAAGAAAAGGAGGGAGGAGAAAAGAAAGGAAGAGAGGGAGGCCGUCCCCACUGGAAAGGAGCCUAAAUGCGAUGGCCAGGUAUUACUGACACAAGUGUGGAAGCGUUUAAACCUGGUAGAAUGUGACUACUUCGGG
This 442-nucleotide small RNA is filed under the name Pan troglodytes (chimpanzee). RNAcentral describes it as "processed transcript". The record is from RNAcentral. Lineage: Eukaryota; Metazoa; Chordata; Mammalia; Primates; Hominidae.